RNAcentral lists this unclassified non-coding RNA (303 nucleotides) under uncultured fungus. RNAcentral's name for it is "sequence contains ITS1, 5.8S rRNA gene". The stretch from base 255 to 303 matches the Rfam family "5.8S ribosomal RNA", at positions 1 to 49 of the family's 154-position model. Lineage: Eukaryota; Fungi. The record is from RNAcentral.
UUUCCGUAGGUGAACCUGCGGAAGGAUCAUUAUUGAAAAGUUUUGGAGGUACUGUUGCUGGUCUUUAACAAGACAUGUGCACGUAUCUCUAAUCUAUUCAUCCACCUGUGCACUUUUUGUAGGAGUUCUUUUAGGUUGGCUAUAUGCGCUUAGGUGCUAAGUCGAUUUGAAAGGCUUCUAUGUCUUACAAACUAGUUAAGCAUGUUUUAGAAUGUCGUUUUACUGGGACUUUAUUGACCCUUUAAACUUUGUACAACUUUCAGCAACGGAUCUCUUGGCUCUCCCAUCGAUGAAGAACGCAGC